UACGGAAGGCAGCAGUGGGGAAUAUUGCACAAUGGGCGCAAGCCUGAUGCAGCCAUGCCGCGUGUAUGAAGAAGGCCUUCGGGUUGUAAAGUACUUUCAGCGGGGAGGAAGGCGGUGGAGUUAAUAGCUUCACCGAUUGACGUUACCCGCAGAAGAAGCACCGGCUAACUCCGUGCCAGCAGCCGCGGUAAUACGGAGGGUGCAAGCGUUAAUCGGAAUUACUGGGCGUAAAGCGCACGCAGGCGGUCUGUCAAGUCGGAUGUGAAAUCCCCGGGCUUAACCUGGGAACUGCAUUCGAAACUGGCAGGCUAGAGUCUUGUAGAGGGGGUAGAAUUCCAGGUGUAGCGGUGAAAUGCGUAGAGAUCUGGAGGAAUCCGGUGGCGAAGGCGGCCCCUGGGACAAAGCUGACGCUCAGGGUGCGAAAGCGUGGGGAGCAAACGAGGAUUAGAUACC
This 453-nucleotide ribosomal RNA is filed under the name uncultured bacterium. RNAcentral's name for it is "bacterial SSU rRNA". It matches the Rfam family "Bacterial small subunit ribosomal RNA", at positions 340 to 786 of the family's 1533-position model. The record is from RNAcentral.